CCGUGCUAGACGGGGAGUUAGCGGUGCCCUGUAGCCCGAAAUCCGCUCAUGCGGGGUCGAAAAUCCUUCCUGAGAAACAAGAAUUAGGGGUCAAUUCAGUUGGUAAGAGAGGAGGUCGGACCUCGUUUGACAGAUGAUUAUGAACCCCGUCAGAUCCGGGAGGAAGCAGCGGUAAAUAAUUCAAUCUGCAUUACGAAGCAAUCUGGCCCAAUUACCUUUUCUUAUCAGAAGAUUAUCCCUUUUUCUGUUCAAAGGAGGAUGCACGG
This 266-nucleotide signal recognition particle RNA is filed under the name Deltaproteobacteria bacterium. RNAcentral describes it as "signal recognition particle sRNA large type". It matches the Rfam family "Bacterial large signal recognition particle RNA". Rfam says of the family: The signal recognition particle (SRP) is a universally conserved ribonucleoprotein involved in the co-translational targeting of proteins to membranes. The record is from RNAcentral. Lineage: Bacteria; Pseudomonadati; Myxococcota; Myxococcia.